AGGACGCGGGGCAGCCUGCCGCGCCACGCUCCAGUCCCGUCACUUGUGCUCGCGAGCGCCGGUGCGCGCAGGUGCGGGCGGGGUUGUGGGGACGCCGGGAGGGCGGCGCGGUACUUUCCAGAAGGUUCCGCACCGGAAGCGCCUGCCGAGGCCGGAGGCUGGGUGCAGGGGCGGAGACGCGGAGAACUUGGGAUCCUGGUUUAAGGGAGCUGGGAAGCUGCCGCAGGUUUGUUUAAACGAUAUUUUUUUGGUGGCGGAACACGAAGUAAAGUUUUCCGUCGGCGCAGUUCCUGCGUGUGCUGUUCAAGCGGCCUGAAGUGCGUUCAGGUUCGGCCGGGCUGUCCCUCCUCCUGGUCCCGACCCCUCAAACCCCGGGCCGAACACCGCCCUCUCCUGCGGGACAGUCUUUCUAUGGCCGGCGCGUUUCGCCUAGCAGGGUCCUCAGAGGGACCGCGUUAGAGCCUGGGUUUCCUUCCAGGGGGACCAGCGCUCCCUGGGUGGACCGACCCCACCGCUUACCCAUUGCUGGACGCCUGCGUGCACCGACCCCACCGCUUACCCAUUGCUGGACGCUUGCCCUGUUGCCAUCUCCUCGCUAGCGUGAACAGUGCUGCGUGCAGAUCUCUCUUUCAUUGAUUGUUUUGCGUCUGUACCCAGAAGUGGGAUUGCUGGACCAUCUCUGCCCAUUUUAAAAUUGGGAAAUGACAUGAUCUGAUUUAAGCUAUUUAAAAAUCACUUGGGCCUGGGCUCGGUGGCUCACGCGUGUAAUCACAACACUUUGGGAAGCCGAGACAGGCGGAUCACCUGAGGUCAGAAGUUUGAGACCAGCCUGGCCAACAUGGUGAAACCCGGUCUCUACUAAAAAUACAAAAAUUAGCCGGGCACGGUGGCUCCAGCCUGUAAUACCAGCUACUCAGGAGGCUGAGGCAGGAGAGUUGCUUGAACCCAGGAAGCGGAGGUUGCAGUGAGCUGAGAUUGCCUCACUGCACUCCAGCCUGGGCAACAGAGUGAAACAAUGUCUCAAAAAAAUAAAAAUAAAAAAACUGAAUGGUUCCACAGAAAUACUGAGACUUCUGCUUAAACAGGCUUUCUUGAACCUGUACGCUUCCAGUUGGGUCUGCUGCUUCCAGGUCAUUUACUAAAAAUGAUAGGAAGAUUUAAAAAAUAAAAAUAAAAGGAAGGCCGGGCGUGGUGGCUCACGCCUGUAAUCCCAGCACUUUGGGAGGCCUAGGUGAGCGGAUCACGAGGUCAGGAGCUCGAGACCAUCCUGGCUAACACGGUGAAAACCCGUCUCUACUAAUAAUACAAAAAAAAAAAAAAAAAAUAGGGCAUGGUGGCGGGUGCUUGUAGUCCCAGCUACUAGGGAGGCUGAGGCAGGAGAAUGCCGUGAACCCGGGAGGCGGAGCUUGCAGUGAGCCGAGAUCGCGCCACUGCACUCCAGACUGGGCGACAGAGCGAGACUCUGUCUCAAAAAAAUAAAGGAAAAUUGGGCCGGGCGCAGUGCCUCACGCCUGUAAUCCCAGCACUUUGGGAGGCUGAGGUGGGCGGAUCACGAGGUUAGGAGAUCAAGACCAGCCUGACCAACAUGGUGAAACCCCGUCUUUACUGAAAUACAAAAAAGCCUGGCGUGGUGGUGCGCGCCUGUAGUCCCUGCUACUCGAGAGCCUAAGGCCGGAUAAUCGCUUGAACCUGGGAGGCAGAGGUUGCAGUGAGCCAGGAUGGUGCCACUGCACUCCAGCCUGGGUGACAGAGACUCUGUCUCAAAAAAAAGAAAAUCAGCCAGGCUCAGUGGCUCAUGCCUGUAAUCCCAGCACUUUGGGAGGCCGAGGCGGGCAGAUCACCUGAGAUCAGGAGUUUGAGACCAGCCUGGCCAACAUGGUGAAACCCCAUCUCUACUAAAAAUACAAAAAUUAGCUGGUACAUACCUGUAAUCCCAGCUACCCAGGAGGCUGAGGCAGGAGAAUCGCUGGAAUCCAGGAGGCAGAAGCUGCAGUGAGCUGAGAUCACACUACUGCACUCCAGCCUGGGUGACAGAGCAAGACUCCAUCUCAAAAAAUAAAAUAAAAAACAAGGGAAAAUCCACAAGGACAUAGUUGAAUCCAUAAGAAGAAAUGACAGCAGAUAAAUCAGUUAACAAAAGUUCAAGAGCUGGAGAUCAGAUCUUUAUCGACCUGAGAAUAUGGAACACCAGUGCCUAUGUGGAAGGAAACCAGGAAGCAAGUUCAUUUAAUCCAGUGAGUCUGGAAGAGUCUGGGAGUUGGCAGCAUUAGCCUCCUGUCUGAGAGCUGUGGGGCUGAAAGCAGGAGCAUUUAGAGGAAAAGGUUGCCUUCCACAUUUCGUUUCUCCCCCACAUGUUCAGGGGAAUAGCUCACUUUCAUCACCGUGGAGCACUAGAGAAAGGCCAUUCCAGGGGACUUGAACAGGAGGGUUCUGGAUUUCAGGACACCAAGCAUAGCUCAGAUUGGGGAUGCAGUAAUAAAGAUGGGAUUAUACAGAGUUCACAUAAGGAAGAGUAGGACCUCUAACCCCUUUCCUCCAGAUAGCCACAAGAAUGUUGGCCACUAGGCUCAUUCCCUGCUCAGCUACCACCACCAUCCUUCCCCCAAUGCCCUGACAAGAACUAAAGGAUUCCUCUGUGUGGAAACUGACCAGCCCAGGAGAAAAUAUUUUUUUUUAAUGUAUUUUUUACGCCGGGCGCAGUGGCUCAUGCUCGAUAAUCCCAGCACUUUGAGAGGCCGAGACAGGCGGAUGGAUCACUUGAGGUCAGGAGUUCGAGACCAGCCUGGCCAACAUGGUGAAACCCCAUCUCUACUAAAAAUACAAAAAAUUAGCAGGGCAUAGUGGCACGCGCUGGUAAUCCCAGCUACUCAGGAGGCUGAGCCAGGAGAAUCACUUGGAAACGGGAGGCUGCAGUGAGCUGAGAUCAUGCCACCGCACUCCAGCCUGGGCAACAGAGUGAGACUCUGUCUCAAAAAAAAAAAAAAAAAAAAAGCCUGUUUUCUGAUGACUGUUAAGUGUGUGAAACUAAAAACUCCUGGUCUCUGCUCUCCCCUGUGUGCCUGACAGCACUCCGUAAAGGUGUGUUCAGCGAACUGACCGGAUGCGGGCUGUGGUAAGCCAUAUACAUGAUGUGAAAUCUUCUCCAGCAAAUUCUCUUGACCUUGCCGUGACACUCUGAUGCCCUAUGAUGAGGUGGUGAAGAUGGUGGCUCAAGACCUGGCUGACUGCCUCUGAAUCAGGACUGUCUCUUGCUAGCUGAGGCAUCUUGCAUCCCCCACAUGUGGAGUAGAGAAAACAAUGGCACCUCCCUCAGGGCUGCUGCAGCUCUCAGAAGAGUUCCGGCACAAAGCAGCCCUAAGCGGUGUCAGUACUGUCAUCUCUGGAUUCUAAUCUAGAAUCUGUUCUGAGAUCCAGGUUCUUAAUCCUCCAUCAUGGCAGGGGGUGGGACUCACUGGGAAGUGGCAAGUUAGAGGGAUAGUCAGAAUUGUCACCUUCUGCAUCAAUUGCAGGAGCAUCUGUUACUUUUGCAAAUGCCCUAAACUUCCUUUGGGAACGACCCCACCUUAAAUAUUCUGAACUGAAAGAGCAGUUCUUUGAAAACCCAAGGCAAGCAGGACUUGAGCAGGCAUUAGUGCCGCUGUCUUCACCGCCACAUCCUUCACGGCAUCCAGGAGCUGGAAACAGUCUAGCCACUGACGGACAGACGGACAGGCAAAAUGCAGUCCACGCACACGGCAAUGUUCAGCCUUUUAAGUUUUUAAUUUUUAUUUUAUUAUUUCUUAGUAGAGAGGGGGUUUCAUCAUGUUGGCCAGGCUGGUUUCAAACUCCUGACCUCAAGUAAUCCGCCUGCCUCGGCCUCAAAAAGUGCUAGGAUUACAGGCGUGAGCCGCUGCACCCAGCCCUAUUUUUAUUUUUUAUUUUAUUUAUUUAUUUUUUUGAGACAGAGUCUCACUCUGUUGCCCAGGCUGGGGUGCAGUGGCACGAUCUUGGCUCACUGCAACCUCUGCCUUCCCAGUUCAAGUGAUUUUCCUGCCUCAGCCUCCCAAGUAGCUGGGAUUACAGGCAUGCAUCACCACACCCAGCUAAUUUUUUUUUUUUUUUUUAAGACGGAGUCUUUCUCUGUCGCCAGGCUGGAAUGCAGUGGAGCGAUCUUGGCUCACUGCAACCUCUGCCUCCCAGGUUCAAGCGGUUCUCCUGCCUCAGCCUCCCGAGUAGCUGUGAUUACAGGCACGUGCCACCACGCCCUGCUAAUUUUUUUUUUUUUUUUUUUGAGACGGAGUCUCACUCUGUUGCCCAGCCUGGAGUGCAGUGGCACGAUCUCGGCUCACUGCAAGCUCUGCCUCCCAGGUUCACGCCAUUCUACCGCCUCAGCCUCCCAAGUAGCUGGGACUACAGGCGCCCGCCACCACGCCCGGCUAAUUUUUUGUAUUUUUUUUAGUAGAGACAGGGUUUCACCAUGUUAGCCAGGAUGGUCUCGAUCUCCUGACCUCGUGAUCCGCCCGCCUCGGCCUCCCAAAGUGCUGGGAUUACAGGCAUGAGCCACCGCGCCUUGCCCAUGCCCUGCUAAUUUUUAUAUUUUUAGUAGAGACAAGGUUUCACCAGGUUGGCCAGGAUGGCCUCGAUUUCUUGACCUCGUGAUCCACCAGCCUUGGCCUCCCAAAGUGCUGGGAUUACAGGCAUGAGCCGCUCUGCCCAGCCGCUAAUUUUUUAUAUUUUUGGUAGAGAUAGGGUUUCACUAUGUUGGCCAGGCUGGUCUUGAACUCCUGACCUCAAGUGAUCCAUCUGCCUCAAGUGAUCCCAGCCUCCCAAAGUGCUGGGAUUACAAGCGUGAGCCACCGAGCCUAGCCUAUUUUUAUUUUCUUUAAAGAAUCUUAAGGACAAUCAAAAGUCAGCCUUUAUUAAAAGGAAAGAGGGCCGGGAAUGUUGGCUCAAGCCUGUAAUCCCAGCACCUCCGGAGGCCAAGGCAGGCAAAUCAUGAGGUCAGGUGUUCGAGACCAGCCUAGCCAACAUGGCGAAACCCUUUCUCUACUAAAGAUACAAAAAAUUAGCCGGGCAUGGUGGUGCACACCUGUAAUCCCAGCUACUC
This 5086-nucleotide long non-coding RNA is filed under the name Homo sapiens (human). RNAcentral's name for it is "non-protein coding lnc-ANKLE2-2:4". The record is from RNAcentral. Lineage: Eukaryota; Metazoa; Chordata; Mammalia; Primates; Hominidae.